Molecule: transfer RNA, 52 nt
Filed under: Dysdera macra
Lineage: Eukaryota; Metazoa; Arthropoda; Arachnida; Araneae; Dysderidae
Description: tRNA-Leu
Source: RNAcentral
ACCUUUUUGGCAGAUCUAUAUUGCAAAAGACUUAGAAUCUUAUCAACCUAUU